RNAcentral lists this ribosomal RNA (482 nucleotides) under uncultured bacterium. RNAcentral's name for it is "partial 16S ribosomal RNA". It matches the Rfam family "Bacterial small subunit ribosomal RNA", at positions 28 to 522 of the family's 1533-position model. The record is from RNAcentral.
GACGAACGCUGGCGGCGUGCUUAACACAUGCAAGUCGAACGAUGAAGCCGGAGCUUGCUCCGGUGGAUUAGUGGCGAACGGGUGAGUAACACGUGAGCAAUCUGCCCUUGACUCUGGAAUAACUGCGGGAAACUGUAGCUAAUACCGGAUACGACACCGUGGGGCAUCCCAGGGUGUGGAAAGAAUUUCGGUCAAGGAUGAGCUCGCGGCCUAUCAGCUAGUUGGUGAGGUAAUGGCUCACCAAGGCGACGACAGGUAGCCGGCCUGAGAGGGUGACCGGCCACACUGGAACUGAGACACGGUCCAGACUCCUACGGGAGGCAGCAGUGGGGAAUAUUGCACAAUGGGCGAAAGCCUGAUGCAGCAACGCCGCGUGAGGGAUGAAGGCCUUCGGGUUGUAAACCUCUUUUAGCAGGGAAGAAGCGAAAGUGACGGUACCUGCAGAAAAAGCACCGGCUAACUACGUGCCAGCCGCCGCGGUA